UCAGUUGCUGGGCGACGUUUUGGGGCAGAUAAGGGUCUGGUGAAGUGCCAUAGAGGCGUUUUGUAAUUGGAUGACAAUGCGAAACGCCCAAGGUAUGAGAGCCAGACAAUGCUAUCAUAUCAGUUGUGCUAAGAUUUCUUGUCAAAGAUGGUUUUAAGCUGGUAGAGAUUGAAGAAGGAAUCUGGUAUAUUUUCAGCUACCCUGGAUGCCUGAGAUAUUAGGCCAUCAUGACGUCCCAAUUCCACAUCAAAUGUAGGGCCACCGGUCUGAAAAUUUUCUACAUGUCAGGAGCAAAAAGAAAAAAGAAGCUAUCAGGGAUUGACAACAGCUUGAAGUUCAGUGCGAGUUGUUCAUGCUUGUGGACUUUCUUACCAGGACAACUGCAUCUCUGGCAGCAAGAGCUAAAAUGUCCGCACACGAGACUACACCAGGGCAUUCAUUUUCCACUGCUAUCUUUGACCUGUUGACAGUGUCAAACCCUUCUCUUCUGAGAGAAAGAUUAGCUUCUGCAUCCCUCUCUGAAUCACCAUUUGCUGAAGCAAUCAAGAUUGAGGCAUCACAUCCCUGCAAAGCAAAUUGAGCAGAAAGCACCAGGAGAUCAACGUACCAGCAUAAGAAUGUUUUAACAUGACAGUCAGUGCUGUAAAAGGUUAUUUCUGUAUUCAAAGAGUUAAUCAGUUAUUUUACUUAAUUUUCUGAUAUCAUUGCGUAUAAUAUAUUUGCAGCCAGAACCAAAAUUGACAAAGGGUUAAAAGAAGACUCAAGCUAUAUCGGUAUCUUCUCAGUCAAUGCGAUAGGCAUGCAAAAGGCAUUUUUUUAUUCUUCCUACCUCAACGAAACAGUCGUGAAAAAAUGCGCGCAGAAUGGCUGGGCCUGAGAUAUUAGUCUCCAUAUACUUGGCAGUCACUGCCUUCUUCACAAUGUCUUCUACAUUCGGACAGCUGGACUCGUAAAAACCUUCAACUAAUUGCCCUCCUGCUCUCUGCAUAAUCAUGAAAGCCAUUAGCACAAACAUGCCUCUCCAAGCUUCCAUUUCUCUUAGAAAAUGAUAACUUCUCUCCUGCUCUUGGUAUCUCAUUCUCUGUUAGUCUUUUGGUGCGGCCGAGUCUAUUUAUAAUGGCAAUCAAUGACUCAUAAGGAAGAAGAAACCAGGGAAGCUAGCCCAACUUUGUAGAAAGCUAUGAGGGACAUGUGACCAUAUUUGAUGAGGAGGAGCUUUGCCUCUAAUGGAACUCACUAUUAUAGGAAUCAGAGUUUUCAGAGUGCUCUAUAUGGGGUGGUUUAGGACCUAUUCUAAUGACUCUGCUUUUCUUAAUUUCACCAUUUCAUUCCUUGCCUUGUUAUGUAUAGCACUUCCUUGAAAAUGCUUCACUUGUAGGCUAGCUAGCCAUUGUGAAUGACAACUUUCUGAUCGACUUGUUUGGUACUAUGUGAAUCCUUUAAUGAUGACAUGGUGAAAUAUCUUAAUCUGAUACUUGUAUUUUUUAGGUGAUAUUUGAAAAUGUAAAUAAAGAAAGAAUGUGUAAAAACAUUUACGUUGUACAA
Ziziphus jujuba (common jujube) is the source of this 1545-nucleotide long non-coding RNA. RefSeq lists it as uncharacterized. Lineage: Eukaryota; Viridiplantae; Streptophyta; Magnoliopsida; Rosales; Rhamnaceae. The record is from RefSeq and is a predicted model, not a curated record. The transcript has 2 exons.